GCCCCGCUAGCUCAACUUGGCAGAGCAGCGGAUUCUUAAUCCGCGGGUUCCAGGUUCAAGUCCUGGGCGGGGUA
This 74-nucleotide transfer RNA is filed under the name bacterium. Its description in RNAcentral is "tRNA-Lys". It matches the Rfam family "tRNA". Rfam says of the family: Transfer RNA (tRNA) molecules are approximately 80 nucleotides in length. RNAcentral also lists the same sequence under 2 other names. The record is from RNAcentral.